Molecule: transfer RNA, 72 nt
Filed under: Pangasianodon hypophthalmus (striped catfish)
Lineage: Eukaryota; Metazoa; Chordata; Actinopteri; Siluriformes; Pangasiidae
Rfam family: tRNA
About the family: Transfer RNA (tRNA) molecules are approximately 80 nucleotides in length.
Source: Rfam by way of RNAcentral
UCUCUUGAAGACGAGUGGUUAUGCCACAGCGCUCUCACCGCUGCGGCCCGGGUUCGGUUCCCGACCACGGAA